ACGAACGCUGGCGGCGUGCCUAACACAUGCAAGUCGAACGUGAAAGUCCUUCGGGAUGAGUAAAGUGGCGGACGGGUGAGUAAUGAAUAGGAACGUACCUACAGGAGGGGAAUAGCCAUGGGAAACUGUGGAUAAUACCGCGUAAUAUCGCAAGAUCAAAGGGGGCCUCUAUUUAUAAGCUCCCGCCUGUAGAGCGGCCUAUUUCCCAUUAGCUAGUUGGCGGGGUAAAAGCCCACCAAGGCAACGAUGGGUAGCUGGUCUGAGAGGAUGAUCAGCCACACUGGAACUGAGACACGGUCCAGACUCCUACGGGAGGCAGCAGUGGGGAAUCUUGCACAAUGGGCGAAAGCCUGAUGCAGCAACGCCGCGUGAGUGAAGAAGGUCUUUGGAUUGUAAAGCUCUUUCGGUCGGGAAGAAGGGUCUUUUAGUUAAUACCUGAGAGAUCUGACGGUACCGGCAUAAGAAGCACUGGCUAAUUCCGU
RNAcentral lists this ribosomal RNA (482 nucleotides) under uncultured bacterium. RNAcentral's name for it is "bacterial SSU rRNA". It matches the Rfam family "Bacterial small subunit ribosomal RNA", at positions 29 to 506 of the family's 1533-position model. The record is from RNAcentral.